RNAcentral lists this ribosomal RNA (1871 nucleotides) under Triticum aestivum (bread wheat). RNAcentral's name for it is "partial small subunit ribosomal RNA". Lineage: Eukaryota; Viridiplantae; Streptophyta; Magnoliopsida; Poales; Poaceae. The record is from RNAcentral.
CUCCUAGCCACAACCAUCUUAUCCAUUCUCCCCCAUCCAGACCAGUACAUCACUGCAUUUGAUCCUCGCAGUGAGUCCCUGGCCGGCGACGAGCGCAAGGGGACGGCAACGGGACGGCGAGGAGAGGUCUUGGCCGGCGACGGACUCGCCCGGCCGCUCCUCUGACGACGUAGCGGAGGACAGGGGGGACAACAGAGGGGCGGGAGGAGCCUGUCGAGGGCAAGGCGAGGUGAGGUCCUGGCCGGUGCCGGACUCGCCGAGCCACUCCUCUGACGACGGAGGGGAGGUUGGGGGGGCACCUGGAGGUCGUCAGCGUCUACAUCAUCGUCGUCCACGACGGCGGCGGCCUCGAUGCAUGUGGCCGGGGUCGUCUCAGCUGCGCCACGCUCCACGCAAGGAGGUCCAGACCGACCAGCCGUCGGCUCGCUCCAUGAUGCAGGCGUCGGCAAGCUCGAAAGUCUCGCCGACCUGGGCUCCUCCUUCAGCGGCGCCAGAAUCCCCUAUAGCUCAGCGACGCUGGCCUCCACUCCGGCAAUGGCCGCUGCCCUACAAGCGCUAGGUCCUGGCGCGGCACCAGUAGAUGCGUUGCCUGCACGAGGAUGUUGCAGGCUACAGGUUCGUUCGUUGGACAUUUGAGCUCUCUUAUCACUAGUCGGGUGGAUAGUUGAAACUUUCAAUGUGCAAUCAAAUUACAUAGUUCAUUUUUUUUCACAUGGCAAUUUUUGUUGUGUUCACUUGUGUGGAAGCUGUGGAAGAUGAAUGCCCUAGCAUUUUUGCAUACCAUGUCAUUUUGAGGUCAUGGAAGCAUGGCAAUUGUAGUUUAUAAACAUCACUCAUGAGUUCAUUUUUUUCACAUGGCAACUUUUGUUUUGUGUUCACUUUGUGUGCAAGCUAUGGAAGAUGAAUCCCCUCGGAUUUUUAUGUAUCAUGGCUUUUUAUGUUCAUGGAAGUAUGGCAAUUGUAGUUUAUGGGUAAUGGCAAAUUCCUUUUUCCUUCUCCAACAAUGGCAAACUAUUUCUAUUUCUUAUGGGGCCAUGUCAAUAUAUAUUAAUUACCCAUGGCAAAUGUAAUUCAUGUGUCAUGGCAACUUUUCCCACUAUAUGGUUGAGAUGAAGAAAAUGCACACUACAUACAUGACAUUUUUCUUAAACUAACUUGGUAUAGUUGCCUUGUUCUUUUGCCCAAUCAAAUGGCCUUCAACUGUUUGUUGGUUGGUAGCUGAUUCGUAUUGAGUUUUAAUUUGUGUUGAGAGAUAGGUUAGUAGUAGGCCAUGACAAAACUAGGAGAAAUAUUCAAAAAAAUGUGGCAACUUCUGUGGAGUGACAUGGCAAAUAAUCAUAUGACACAAUUCAUAUUUUUUGUGUAUAUUCACACUUUCCAUUCAUAGAGAAAUUUUGCAUUUGGUCGCAUGGAUUUUUUUCCUAAAGUGACACGGCACAUGUGUUUUCACACAUUGACAUGGCAAAUUUCUUAAAAGUAGGUUACUCAAAGAUGACAUAUUUCAGGUAGCGACCUUUCCAUGCCCCUGCCAAGUUGACCAUGACAAUUUUUUCCAUAAUAUCGAGGUAGUGACCUUUGUCAUGACCCUACUAUGUCGACCAUGUCAAAUUUGUUAAACAUCCCAUGGCAAUCUAUUUUAUUUAAAUAGCAUGGCAGAUUCAUAUAUGCACAGUUGCCAUGAUCUUGCGGAGCUACUUUUGCCAUGGUAUUUACUGUUUUUACAUUCUUUUCUUCAAGGAAGAAAUAGAGCAUGGCAAAAUUUCUUUUCUGCACCGUGGAAAAUUUAGUUUAUGCACCAUGGAAAAUUUAGUUUAUGGUCCAUGGCAAAUUUAGUUUACGGUCCAUGGCAAAGUAUAUAUUUUACACCAUGG